Long non-coding RNA from Eriocheir sinensis (Chinese mitten crab), 6645 nucleotides. RefSeq lists it as uncharacterized. The record is from RefSeq and is a predicted model, not a curated record. Lineage: Eukaryota; Metazoa; Arthropoda; Malacostraca; Decapoda; Varunidae. The transcript has 2 exons.
GGGAAGGGUAAGGCAGUGUUCAUUGGGGUUUUGAGGAGGUGUGGGGGGCGGGGGAGGUUGGAAGGGGGUGGAAAUGUGUUUUCUUCCCCUUGUGAUGCGAUUCUUAUCUGUAAUUCAAGCAAUCCAACAUCUGGGUGAAGAAGGGGAGGAGAGGAAAGAAAGCAAGAAUGAAGGAAGGGCGGGAGAAGAGAAGAAAAAGGGAAUAAAACAAGGGAGGAGAGGAAAGAAAGCAAGAAAAGAGGAAGGGAGGGAAAAGAGAAGAAAAAAAAGAUGACAGGGGUGAAGAGAAGAAGGACGAAAGAAAACUUGUAGGGAGAAAGGAAGGAAGAAGAAAAAGCAUAAGAUAGGGAUGAAGAGAAGAAGAAGAAAAGAAAGGAGAGGAAAGACAGUCAGCAUGAAGGAAGGGAUGGAGAAGAAAGAAAAAAAAUGAAUGAGACUGGAGACAAGGAAAAGAAGAAAAGGAAUAAUGAAGAGAAGAAAAACCAUAAAACUUGAGAUGAAGAGACGAAGACAGGAAGGAGAGGCAAACAAGGAAGUAAAGAUGAAGAAAGGGAGAAGAGAAGAAAAAUAAUGAGACUGGAGACAAGGAGAAGAAGAAAAGGAAUAAUGAAGAGAAGAAAAACCAUAAAACUUGAGAUGAAGAGACGAAGACAGGAAGGAGAGGCAAACAAGGAAGAAAAGAUGAAGAAAGGGAGAAGAGAAGAAAAAUAAUGAGACUGGAGACGAAGAGAGAGGAAAGUAAAGAGCGAAGGAGAAGGGCAAGACAAGGAUGGACUCAAGAAGAUGGGAGGGAGGGAGGGAACGGAGGGAUGGAGGGAAAGGAGAGGAGGGAGGAAGAGAUAAUCUUGCGUAUACAACUUGACCAAUUAUCUUUCUCCUGAAUUACGCGAAGCGACUCAUUAACUUCUGCUUAAGCAAUUAUGUGUAACUGUGCUUGUUUGUGUGAAAGUGUGAGUUUAAGGGGGUGUUUUUUUGAGUUGUGUGUGUGUGUGUGUGUGUGUGUGUGUGUGUGUGUGUGUGUGUGUGUGUGUGUGUCAUUCUUUUUCUUCUCUCUUAUUCUCCCUCCUUGCCUCCCUUCUUGGUUGCUGUCAUUUCCUCUCCUUCCUUUCUUCUUUUUCAUCAUCCCUCUCUCAUUCUUCUCUUCUCCUUCCCUCCUUCCUCCCUUCUUGCUUUCUUUCCUCUCUUCCCUUUCUUCAUCAUUAUCCCUCUCAUUAUUUUUCUUCUCUUCUUCCUCUCUUCCUCUUGCGUGUGUUUGGGGGUGUUGCGGGUUUAAUUUAUGUAUGUUGCGUGUGUCCGUGUGUGUGUUGCGUGUGUCCGCGGGGGUGUUGCGGGUGUAGUGUUGCAGGGAGGCUGUGUACUGUGUGUCGGGAGAGAGUUGCGGGAGGUAGCGGACCACAGCCACAGACCUCACCUGAUCCACGCCGACCACAGCAUAGAUUCUCACAGCUCCACGCCUCCUCCUCCUCCUCCUCCUCCUCGUCUUCUUCAGCACUCAGGUCACAUAUUAGAAACCGCAUUACGAACGAUGACGAGGUUGUUGUUUGAGAUAGAAGGAAAAUAUACUGGUUUUCUAUUGAUUGGCAGAUUGCUUGCUUGACUGAUUGAUUGACUGACCGAAUGACUGAGCGACUGACUGACUGACUAAUGGAACGAGCUGGUACUGGCUGACUUACAAACUUACCGUACUACUAACUUAUUGACUGACUGACUGACUGACUGACUGACGAACUGACUGACUGACUGGAACUAAUGGAUUGAGCUGGCUUACUUACCAACUCACUGCCUUGUUGACUGACGAACUGAAUGAUUUAUGUAUUAAUUAACUGACUAACUGCUUGCUCUACUGACUGACUGACCAAUUAACCAACAAACUAACAAACCUACAAAUUUUUAACCAAGUGACAAUAACCAAAUAACUAGCAAUAGAAAUACACACACAAAAAAAAUCACGAGACAGUCUAACACACACACACACACACACACACACACACACACACACACACACACACACACACACACACACACACACACACACACAUACACACAGAAGCUCGGGACACCUGGAUUCAUGACUCACACUCACCUUGCCACUGGUUCUCCCACGCUUACCUGUGUAUACCUGGAGGCUAAGGUGGUGCUGCUUGAGCCUCCUCCUCCUCCUCCUCCUGCGUCGCCGUCUCCUCUUUCCUCUUCAAUUUCUACUUGUUUUUCUUCUUCCCCUCCUCAUUCUUAUUUUCGUGUCUUAUAUCUUUCAUACUUGUUCCUGCUUUCCAUUUUCUCUCAUACUCUCUUUUUUUGGGGUCAAUAUCUCCUUCCUUUCCUAUCACCUCCAUCAUCAUCAUCACAUCUUCCUUUUUUCACCUAUCCAGUGCAUCCUUCCCUCUUCCUCUUCUCCCCAUCUUCACGUUUUAUUGUCACGUCUCCUUCUUUUACAUCGCUUUCCUGCUUCUCUUCCCUCUCCUCCUCCUCCUCUUCCUUCUCCUCUUCUUCCUCUUCCUCUCUUUCUCCAACACGAAGUAACGUUAGCGCCCACAGACCGGGUAAGAAAACACUACAACGCACGACGCUGGCAAUCAUAGAACGUAAGAAGCGAACGCAAUUUUUAGUGAAGGUUUUUAUUUGAACUCCGACGUUGCAUAAAGGUGAUUGAAGUUAGUUAGUUAGUUAGGUUAGUUUAGCUGGUUAGUUUGGUUCGUUAUGUUAGUUAGGUAGGUUGUUAGGUUAGGUUAGGUUAGUUAGUUAGGUUAGGUUAGUGAUAGUUAUUUAGCUAGUCAGUUUUUUAGUUAGGUAGGUUAGUUAAUUAGUAUUUUCUCAAGUGUGUUAGGUAGUUAGAUAGUUUGUUAGUUUCGUAUAUAGAAAAACAGAGAUAGAAAGAGAGAUGAUUAAUUGCAAAACACAUUAGCUGACUUACAUAACUAACCAGCCAGCCACCUGCUAAUGACCCGGCGGUGACCAAAAAACAAAAAAGGAAAGAAAAAUGUAACAAAAUCCUUUCCCCAUCCUCCCCUCUGAAUGAAUCCUGUUUCAACCCAACCUGAACUCCGAGACCGCAGCCUGAUUGUAGGAGAUCGAAUCGUCUUGUUCUGCAUGCAAUAAGCUGCCCAGUGCAUUCUGAUCCUUCUUCGGGGAACUUGAAACCUCCUGCAUGCCAGCUCGGGGAAGUUUAAAGUUUAUCGCUGCUUACGCUAGAGGGCUUCCCUGAGGUGGUGCUGUUUCGUUUUGCUCAUUGUUUCGUAUUCUUUUUUUUCAAUCGGUUUUUAUCUCAUUAAUCGUGGUUCUUUCCUUUAUUUUUUUGGUCUGGUUAAGUUUUCUGGGAAUUUAUGGUGAGAAUGAUUAUUUUAUCGAGUUUGAUCUGUUAUUUGUAGUUCUUUUCCUAUUUUUUUCUUGCAUGUUAAAGUUUGAGAUGUUUACAGGUGUGAGAGGAGUUUGUAGUAUCGGUUCUCUUCCUUGUAUUUUUCUGGCUUAGUUUAGGAUUUUGUUCAUUUUUUGAGUAUACUGACCCUUUUAUCGAUUUUCACUUCGGUAAUAGGGAUUUAAAUUCUUCUUUUUCUUGUAAUAUAAUAAAGGUUUCAAGGAAUUUAUGGGGAGUUACGAAUCUUUUAUCGUUUCAGAUUUCUGUAAUCGUUGUUUUAUUCCUUAUUUUGUUACGUUUUAAGAAUGCUGAUCCUUUUAUCGACUUUCACUUCGGCUAUAAAGGUUUGAAUCCUCCUUUUUCUUGUAAUACGAUAAAGGUCUCAGAGUAUUCGUGCAAGUUACGUAUCUUUUAUCGUUUCUCAUCUCCGUCAACGUGAUUUUAGUCUCCAUUUUUCACGUCUGGCCAAAUGAUCGGGUAUGUUUGAGAGGGUUAAGGAUUUUAGUGAAAUUUAAGUCUGCCCUCACGGCGUGGCGCAAGGCGGGAAACGAAGCACUGGAAAGAAAGAGAAAGUCGACGAGUGAGUGAGUGAGCGAGUGAGUGAGAAGGAGAGACUUUAAAGACUUGCUCCUCGCUCUUAAACUGGCUGUGUGUACGUAUGUGUGUGUAGGCGUGAGGGAUACACACACACACACACACACACACACACACACGGACUUACAUGGAACUGAGAAGAAACUUUGGACGUGGCCUAGUUUGAAUGAUAAGAAACAGGAUCUUGUGAGAACGUGGACUUGUUGCACCCAAAAGAGGAACACGUGAUGGAUGGUGAGAAUUUGUCGAUGUUGUUGUUGAUGCUAUUGUUGAUGUUGCUGUUGUUUUCUAUGAGUUCAACGCACAGAACCUCCUUUCUCAUGUGAUCCCUUAAAUGACAUAACCGAAAAAAGAAGAGAUUGAAAAAUAAAGUAAAUAAAAGUAAUUUUGUUAGUUAGCUUUAUGUACAGAUAGAUAGAUAGGUAGAAAGAGAAAGAGAGAGAUGAUUAAUUGCAGGCUACUUUCUGACCCGAAUGUAAAGAAGAAAAUAUUUAAACAAAGAAAAAGUAAUAUAAAAGUGUAUAGAAAAGACGCAUUUGUACCAGAACGAAACGAAAAAAAAGGAAAAUAAAAUAAAAGGAGAAGAAACACCCGAACGAAAAGAAGGGAAAAAAAUAAACAAAGAAAGAAUAGGAGAAAAAUGUACUACAGGAAAGAGAUGGAAUUAUAUGCCAGAACGAAAAAAAAAAAAAAAUGAAGAAAUCCGCUUGUCAAUAGUUUCCUGUUUACGAAAUAUAUUCACUAAAAAAAAAAAAAGUGAGACUUCGUAGUUUUUGCUGCAGGAGAAACCAGCCGAGAAAACAUCCUUAAAUUUGGUAUACGUAGUAAGGAUGUUUUCUCUCUCUCUCUCUCUCUCUCUCUCUCUCUCUCUCUCUCUCUCUCUCUCUCUCUCUCUCUCUCUCUACACAAAUGGCUCCUUAUUUGCAUUAUUUACCUCCCUCCUUCAUUUUCUCCAUUAAUUACUCGCCAAGUCACUAAAUUAGACGCUUGUUAGGUAGGAAGCUAGAAGGUAAGUCAGGUAGUUAGUUGGUUAAUUAGUUUAUCAGUUAAGUUCUCAGGUGGAAAGGUAAAGGUAGUUAAUGAAUAGCUAAUUACCUAUUUUUGCCUCACCUGAAACUGCCGUAAAUAUAAAAAAAAUAGCGUUAAAUACUUUACUAGUUAACCUUUUAGGCGAGGAAGUAGAUACGAUAAGGCAUAGGCGGUUAAUAAAUAGUCAGUCAGCUACCUUUUAAUUAGGUGUUAGGUAAGCAGGUGUGUCGGCAGGUGCGGGAAGGCAAAGGUAGCUAAUGAAUUGCCGAUCAGUGACAUUUUAAUUAGUUGUUAGGUAAUCAGGUGUGUCGGCAAAGAAAGGAAGGUAAAGUUAGAUAAUAAACAGUAGUAGUUAUUAGGUAAGCAGAUAUUUGGGCCAACAUAGGAAGGUAAAGUUAGAUAAUGAGUAGUUAAAAAAAAUAAUUAGUGUAGAAAACUUAAGGUAGUUAAUUAAUGUUUAGUUAUUAGGGAUGUAGAUGUGUCAGUAAACAUAGGAGGGUAAAUAUGAUAAGAAAUAAUAAAUAGUUAGGUUAGGUUAGGUUAGGUGAAGGUAAAGGUAGAUAAUUAAUAGUUGACAGGUAAAUAUGUGUAUGGGGAGGAUUUUUUUUUUUUACAGUAAAGGAGACAGUUCAAGGGCGUAAAAAAAAAGAAAAUAAUAAAAAAAAAAGCCCGCUACUUACUGCUCCUGAAUAGAGUACUGAGGAGUGGCCAAAAAGAGAGGAGAAUAGUAAAGAUAGAUAAUUAAAGGUUAGUUACUAGUUAUUAGGUAAGUCAGUGUGCUUACAAUCAUAGUAAGGCAAAGGCAGGUCAUCCAUAGUUAGUUGGUAGGUAAGUACGUAGGUAAGUAAGAUAGGUAAGUAAGUAGGCAAAGGCAGGUCAUCCAUAGUUAGUUGGUAGGUAAGUACGUAGGUAAGUAAGAUAGGUAAGUAAGUAGGCAAAGGCAGGUCAUCCAUAGUUAGUUGAUAGGUAAGUAUAUGCGCAGGUAAACAAAUGAAGGUAAAGUUUAACAGCCAUGGAGUUACCUAUCAUUGCCUGAGUGGGACGUGCGGUGAAUAUCUUUAAGGUUCACCCACACCGCCGCGAUGGGAUGACCUUCGGUGGCCCAUUCUUCCCUCUGGCACGUGAUUCAACCCUUACACGUGGACAGAGGGAGGGAGGAGUGGAGGAGAUGUGGUGGGUAGACGACUGAUAGGGUGGAAGGUAAAAGAUGGAGCGUUGGUGGAUGGUUAAGGUGGAUGGAUGGAAGGGUAUGACGGGAGAAAGUGGUUGUGGAGGAGGAGGAAGUGGUGGAAGUGGAGGAAACAGAGGGGAAGAAGGUGAGAAAGGUUGAAGAGUGACAAUAAAUGGAGGAAAGAGUAAAAAAAAGGUAAAGGAGACGAAAUGAAAAAUAAAACAAAGGAAGGAAGAGGAGGAGAAGGAGGAAACAGGGGUGAAAGAGGUGAGGGAAGGAGUGGAGGUGGAAGAGGGAAAAGUGGUGGUGGAAGACUAAAAAAACGGCAAACAAGGCGAAAUGAAAACAAAAACAAAACAAGGAAAGAAGGAGGAGGAGAAGGAGGAAACAGGAGUGAAGGAGGUGAAGGAAGGAAGGGAUGUGUUGGUGAAAGAGGAGAAAAAUGAACAAGAAAUGGAAGAAGGAAUUAAAAUAAGCAACAAGAAGAAAUGAAAACAAA